AGUGGAGAAGGGUAGAGGGGCGGGCCCAUUAUCCACCGAGUUUGGAAGGCUGUGAUUGGUCCAAAGGGCGAGUCACAGACGGAUUUCUCGGUUAUCAAAAAAAAAAAAAAAAAAUAAAAAAAAAAUAGCAAACAUAGUUAGCAAGACCCUACCUAGUUAACUACACAUGUACACACGAUAUCUCAAUCAAAAAAAUGCUUAAAGAAGAAGAAAAGACAGUCAACUUAGUUUCAAAAUAACAUCAAACUUGAGAAAAGACAUUCCUUUCUGCAGCAACACACCAGUGUUUCGGUGUUUGUAUACUGGUUCUUCGGAAGGUUCUGAAUAUAGAAGCUUAUUUCAUGAACUUGGUUACAGAGUUGGUUUAUGAAAAGUUGAAACAACAGAAAAAAUAUCAAGUCAACUAGAACCAAAUGAAGGCGAAAGGCGAUUUCUCCGCAAUGGGUAUCUAUCAUGUUCUUCAACCAUAUUGUUGAUGGGUCAGCCUGAAAUGAGCUAAUUGUGAUUUCCUAUGAGUUCUCCACACUCAUUAUCUUUUGGCCGAUUAGUUACAUGUAAUAUGAGUCAGUUAUGCUUAUUUGGCCGAUUGGGGUUUCUAAUGGCAAGCUUCGUGACUAUCAGUCAUCCAAUCCCACCCAUUGUUUAUCCUUCUAUUUCUACAUUAUAAUUAGCUCCAAAAAAAUUGCCUCGCUAUUUUAAAUUUAAAAUUUUUAUAGUGAUUGUGCCUACAAAAAAAUCACGAGAGAUUACAUUUCUACAAAUCAUGAGAGAAUUUAAAAUUUUCAUAGUCACGGAUAGUGAUUGUGCCUACAAAAAAAUCACGAGAGAUUACAUUUCUACAAAUCAUGAGAGAAUUUAAAAUUUUCAUAGUCAGGGUACCUACAAAUGCACUCAAAUGUCACAACUUGCUUAUACAUAACAAGUCUGGAGGGAUUUUUUUUUUGAAACUACAAGGUAACAUUUCGACUAAGGAACAUAUCCAAUUGUACCAAAGUGCAAAAGAAUGUGUUGUGCAAUCAAGUGAAGGUCAUGAAAGCUCUGUGCAUGGAGUGGUCAUAUGUCAAACGAAUGAAGUUGAUUCAAGGGUCUAAGCUAUGCAAAAUUGCAGUUUAUAUUGCUAUUUUCAUCUUUGUGGCUGGUGUUUUUCUUAUCUUUUCCAGAAAGCAAAGAGAUAGGACUUUUCAUCUUUGUGGGUGGUGAUUUUCUUAUCUUUUCCAGAAAGCAAAGAGAUAAGACUAUGUUCUCUAAGUAAGAGCAGCUAAAGAGUAGUAAUAGAGACAUCCAUGUAACAAUUGAUUACUUGAAGCAAACUACUGCAAAAUAAAAAAAUGUACAUCAGGCAUCAAAUGACAACUUGAAUAAACUUCAAUAGAUGUAUCCGAGGACAAGUUUUGGGGUGUCUGACCCUAGAGAUGCUCAAGCUAAUUGCUUGUGGUACUAGUUGUCUAUUGCAGUCACUAGACUUAAUUUUAUGUUCUCUUCCCCUCCUCCUAAAUUGUGUUACUUUUUUUGUUAGAUUUUCAUCCUCUUUUGUGGACUUUAUUUUGGUAUAGCUCAUCUUCACACUAUUAGAAGUACAAAAUGAAAGUUGCAUAGCAAGUUGUAUAAUUGUCAACUGAAAAUACUAACUAACAAGGUUGCAAAUGAUACCAAGAAAGUCAUAAAGCAAUAAAAAAGACAAUGAUUAGGUCAUAAUGACUUUCUAACAUAUAGGUUCAAGUUUCACUUAAUUUGAUGGUAAACCAAAUACUGAACUUAAAACAGAAAGAACAACGAAGAAGAAAAAAGAACAUUAAGAUGGACUAAAUUGAACUAAAUAUAGAAAAAAUUAACUAUAGCAAUAUAAAUAUUAUCUAAUCUAGAUUUUGUUCCCUGAAAUGAGUAACAUAUGAGGCUAAUAAAAUUACAGCCACAAUUCACAAAUACUCUAAAUCAAAAAUCAUGUAACACCCCAUUAUGUAAACAAGCUCAAAAAUCUGACCUAGAAUACUUACUUCUGGAAUUUUUUGAAAGGAAGAAAACUUACCAAGAGCAACUAUUUCGAACUCUGUUAAGAAAAUCUUGAAGAAAGUAUACAGAUGGCUAGCAAACAAUAAACUUCAAACUCGAAUCUGCCACUUCCACAAAAAAAUCAUGAAAAAUGUUGAGAGAUAACCAAAAAUCUAACAAGAAUCUCUUUACGCAUUCAUGACAAAAUAAUCAGCCAACCAGAAUAAAUGAAUGAAUGAAUCCUAGCAACAUAUAAAGUGAGCUAACAAUUUCAUACUACGAGAUGACCCCAAAUGAUGAAAUGGAGGUUUUAAAUUUCCCAAGAUGCAUUUCUUCAAAGCAAAUUUCAACAACCAGAUGCUUAAAUUGAACAACCAGUAGAGUAAUUUCAACGAGGCAAAGUAACGACACAUGAAAGCAUUACACCAACUUCCAAACAUCAAGAAAACUUGAGAGAAGUAGUCUUAUCUUAAAAAAAAUACAGAUAACACUAGCAGAAAACAAAGCAGGCAGCAAACUGGAGAAGCAAGAGCAUUCAAAGUGCUUAACAUAUUAAACAAAUUCCGAACCUGGUAACAGGAAAAAAAUAUAGUAUUUAGAGAAGAUAACACCAUUAUUCAACCCAGCGAAAACAACAUUCGACGAAGAAGAGCAACCAAAACGAGAUGAGGAUGAGGUUGUUACCUGCAACGAACUCUAGAAAUCGAUUUCCAAACCAGCAGACUCAGAAAGCUUCAGCUCCUAACUUUUGGAUAUCUAAAUCUAUAUAUCCUUCUCUGUAUAUUUUCUGCCUCUCCAACGUCUAUAUAUUUUUCCCAGGCAAAGAGGAGGUUUAUAUAGGAGGACUGAAUUGGGAUGAAAUGAUUGAAAGCUGGAAUUGUAACGGGAAAGAGAGGAGAGUCGUCCGAUUCCUUGGUGAAGGACGAAGGAGAUGCAAGAUUGGAAAGUUCAACAACGGUCAUUGUACGGAGAUGGAUUGUCGCGAUUCGGGUCACCUUCUUCGCGUGAAGAAGAAAGGGUUUCUUUGGUAUUAUGGAGUGGGCUGCUCAAUUGUUU
Molecule: long non-coding RNA, 3045 nt
Filed under: Solanum tuberosum (potato)
Lineage: Eukaryota; Viridiplantae; Streptophyta; Magnoliopsida; Solanales; Solanaceae
Description: long non-coding RNA (STUB_LNC009487)
Source: RNAcentral